This 200-nucleotide ribosomal RNA is filed under the name uncultured bacterium. RNAcentral's name for it is "partial 16S ribosomal RNA". It matches the Rfam family "Bacterial small subunit ribosomal RNA", at positions 29 to 224 of the family's 1533-position model. The record is from RNAcentral.
AGUGAACGCUGGCGGUAGGCCUAACACAUGCAAGUCGAACGGCAGCACAGGAGAGCUUGCUCUCUGGGUGGCGAGUGGCGGACGGGUGAGGAAUACAUCGGAAUCUACCUUUUCGUGGGGGAUAACGUAGGGAAACUUACGCUAAUACCGCAUACGACCUACGGGUGGAAGUGGGGGACCGCAAGGCCUCACGCGAUUAG